GGCUGAGUCAGUUAGGAGAGGCUUCUCUGAGGAGACACUGAGCCUUUGUAAGCACAAGCCAGGAGGAUUUUGGGGUGGCCAUGAGUUUGGAGGUCUAACAAGAAUGACGAUGUAUUUGCAGAUGGCCUCGUGUCUUAAUUGGUAAGUAUGGAUAGGAGAGGUUUUACUGCCUGUUUUGUUCCUUUGGGUCCAUUAUCUUUUAGGUUUGUUUUAGGUUCCAGUCCUGCAUUGGCGCCAGCAGCCUGAACGUUAUUGUCCUGUCUACACUGUCAACGCCUAAGAGGAAGACCGUUUUGUUUUGCUUUUUGUUUUUCUUUUUAUUCCUCAUCAGCACUAGUGGGUGAGGUUUAUUGCCAACACCAGUGUUUAUUUAAUAUGAUUUUAACAUGCCACUGAGUAGCAGGGCUUAGCUAAAGUAGGGAAGUAGGUUUUCAGAUAUAUCAUUAUUUUUCUAACCCAGCUGGGAAGGCAAGUUGGCACCUACGGUAACUGAGAAUUGAGAUGUCAGCAUGCUUAGGAAAUGGUUAGAGCCCGUCUCCAGCACCACCGAGAUCUGUCACUGCUCCCCUCUGCCACCCAACUGUGUCCACAGAAACAGUGGUCAUAGGCUGAGGACAACGUGACUCUCAGCCAGUGGGCAGUUGGCAGAGUAGAGACACCACGGAGGCCCAGAGAGCAGAAACCCCAAUGCAACUGGAAGAGGCGACUCCCACGUGAAGCAGCAAAUGAGUGGGGGCCAUGCGUCUCAGCCGGCGAGACUAGGACCCAGAGGGGUUGACACCGUAUGGGUGUGUGGAGAAGCAGGCACAGGGUGUAAACUGAGUUCUCCUAUAGGUCGGGAGACUUCCAGCUUGGCGUGAGGGCUGAGCUCUCACUUUCUCACCCAGGCUGGCAGCGCAUGAAUGUGGGGCAUGAUUACAGUUGCGUGGUGGAAGGAAAGGGCCUCUGCACCAGGCUCCUCAGUGUGGGAGGAAAACAUGGUGGACACUCGGGCUCCUUUGGCUCAGUUCUGAGCUCCAAAACUUAAGAUAGCCCACUGAAGUAGGAAUUAUUUCCCCUGUUUUGCAAAUAAGAAAAUUGAAGCCAGAGAAGUCGAGGAAUGUUCCCACAGUCACACAACUAGGAACCACCAGCUUCAAGUGAAGUAGUUGUUUCAAUCUAG
Hipposideros armiger (great roundleaf bat) is the source of this 1162-nucleotide long non-coding RNA. RefSeq lists it as uncharacterized. Lineage: Eukaryota; Metazoa; Chordata; Mammalia; Chiroptera; Hipposideridae. The transcript is spliced from 3 exons. The record is from RefSeq and is a predicted model, not a curated record.